GGCUCGGUAGCGGAUGGUCCGCGUCUACUUCCAAUGAACCCUACUCCAGUCACUUGUGAGAAUGCAGAUUCCGCCUGUUAGACUCAGGCCCGAGCCA
Mycena rebaudengoi is the source of this 97-nucleotide non-coding RNA. Lineage: Eukaryota; Fungi; Basidiomycota; Agaricomycetes; Agaricales; Mycenaceae. The record is from the annotation of a GenBank genome assembly.